This 471-nucleotide ribosomal RNA is filed under the name uncultured Comamonadaceae bacterium. RNAcentral's name for it is "bacterial SSU rRNA". It matches the Rfam family "Bacterial small subunit ribosomal RNA", at positions 335 to 798 of the family's 1533-position model. The record is from RNAcentral. Lineage: Bacteria; Pseudomonadati; Pseudomonadota; Betaproteobacteria; Burkholderiales; Comamonadaceae.
UUGCCUACGGGUGGCUGCAGUGGGGAAUUUUGGACAAUGGGCGCAAGCCUGAUCCAGCCAUGCCGCGUGCAGGAUGAAGGCCUUCGGGUUGUAAACUGCUUUUGUACGGAACGAAAAAGCUCUCUCUAAUACAGGGGGUGAAUGACGGUACCGUAAGAAUAAGCACCGGCUAACUACGUGCCAGCAGCCGCGGUAAUACGUAGGGUGCAAGCGUUAAUCGGAAUUACUGGGCGUAAAGCGUGCGCAGGCGGUUAUGUAAGACAGAGGUGAAAUCCCCGGGCUCAACCUGGGAACUGCCUUUGUGACUGCAUAGCUGGAGUGCGGCAGAGGGGGAUGGAAUUCCGCGUGUAGCAGUGAAAUGCGUAGAUAUGCGGAGGAACACCGAUGGCGAAGGCAAUCCCCUGGGCCUGCACUGACGCUCAUGCACGAAAGCGUGGGGAGCAAACAGGAUUAGAUACCCGAGUAGUCGAG